GAUGAACGCUGGCGGCGUGCCUAAUACAUGCAAGUCGAGCGAACAGACGAGGAGCUUGCUCCUCUGACGUUAGCGGCGGACGGGUGAGUAACACGUGGAUAACCUACCUAUAAGACUGGGAUAACUUCGGGAAACCGGAGCUAAUACCGGAUAAUAUAUUGAACCGCAUGGUUCAAUAGUGAAAGACGGUUUUGCUGUCACUUAUAGAUGGAUCCGCGCCGCAUUAGCUAGUUGGUAAGGUAACGGCUUACCAAGGCAACGAUGCGUAGCCGACCUGAGAGGGUGAUCGGCCACACUGGAACUGAGACACGGUCCAGACUCCUACGGGAGGCAGCAGUAGGGAAUCUUCCGCAAUGGGCGAAAGCUUGACGGAGCAACGCCGCGUGAGUGAUGAAGGUCUGCGGAUCGUAAAACUCUGUUAUUAGGGAAGAACAAAUGUGUAAGUAACGAUGCACGUCUUGACGGUACCUAAUCAGAAAACCACGGCUAACUACGU
RNAcentral lists this ribosomal RNA (496 nucleotides) under uncultured bacterium. RNAcentral's name for it is "partial 16S ribosomal RNA". It matches the Rfam family "Bacterial small subunit ribosomal RNA", at positions 28 to 506 of the family's 1533-position model. The record is from RNAcentral.